RNAcentral lists this ribosomal RNA (440 nucleotides) under uncultured bacterium. RNAcentral describes it as "partial 16S ribosomal RNA". It matches the Rfam family "Bacterial small subunit ribosomal RNA", at positions 338 to 795 of the family's 1533-position model. The record is from RNAcentral.
CCUACGGGAGGCAGCAGUGGGGGAUAUUGCACAAUGGGGGAAACCCUGAUGCAGCGACGCCGCGUGAGUGAAGAAGUAUUUCGUUAUGUAAAGCUCUAUCAGCAGGGAAGAAAAUGACGGUACCUGACCAAGAAGCCCCGGCUAACUACGUGCCAGCAGCCGCGGUAAUACGUAGGGGGCAAGCGUGAUCCGGAUUUACUGGGUGUAAAGGGAGCGUAGACGGUUCUGUAAGUCUGGAGUUAAAGCACGGGGCCGAACCCCGGGACUGCUUUGGAUACUGUGUAACUGGAGUGCGGGAGGGGCAGGCGGAAGUCCAGGUGUAGCGGUGAAAUGCGUAGAUAUAAGGAGGAACACCGGCGGCGAAGGCGGCCUGCUGGACUGAAACUGACGUUGAGGCUCGAAAGCGUGGGGAGCAAACAGGAUUAGAUACCCGAGUAGUC